CCUACGGGAGGCAGCAGUGGGGAAUAUUGGACAAUGGGGGGAACCCUGAUCCAGCGACGCCGCGUGAGUGAAGAAGUAUUUCGGUAUGUAAAGCUCUAUCAGCAGGGAAGAAAGAAAUGACGGUACCUGACUAAGAAGCCCCGGCUAACUACGUGCCAGCAGCCGCGGUAAUACGUAGGGGGCAAGCGUUAUCCGGAUUUACUGGGUGUAAAGGGAGCGUAGACGGCGAUGCAAGUCUGAAGUGAAAGGCGGGGGCCCAACCCCCGGACUGCUUUGGAAACUGGAUGGCUGGAGUGCAGGAGAGGUAAGUGGAAUUCCUAGUGGAGCGGUGAAAUGCGUAGAGAUUAGGAGGAACACCAGUGGCGAAGGCGGCUUACUGGACUGUAACUGACGUUGAGGCUCGAAAGCGUGGGGAGCAAACAGGAUUAGAUACCCGAGUAGUC
This 443-nucleotide ribosomal RNA is filed under the name uncultured bacterium. RNAcentral's name for it is "partial 16S ribosomal RNA". It matches the Rfam family "Bacterial small subunit ribosomal RNA", at positions 338 to 795 of the family's 1533-position model. The record is from RNAcentral.